UUUAUCAUUAUUAUUAUAAAUAAAAUCUGCUCAAUGAAUAAUUUUAAAUAGCCGCAAAAUUUUGUGCUAAGGUAGCAUAAUCACUUGUUUUUUAAUUAAAAACUAGAAUGAAAGAUUUAACAUUUUAAUCAUUUUAUUAUUAAUAAUAAUUUAAUUUAUACUAAAUAUAAAAAUAUAUUUAUAUUAAAAAUAGACGAUAAGACCCUAUUGAAUUUAACUUAUUUGUUUAGCUGGGGAAGCUUUUUAAUUAUAAUUUUAAUUAAAUAUAUACAAAAAAUUAUCCAAUAUAAUUGAAUUAAUCAAAUUACCAUAGGGAUAACAGCGUAAUAUUAUUCUAAAGUUCUUAUUUAAAAUUAUGUUUACGACCUCGAUGUUGAAUUAUUAUUCUUUAUUAUUUAAUGCAAUAAUUAUAAAAGUAGGUCUGUUCGACCUUUAAUAUUUUACA
Molecule: ribosomal RNA, 445 nt
Filed under: Theridion grallator (Hawaiian happy face spider)
Lineage: Eukaryota; Metazoa; Arthropoda; Arachnida; Araneae; Theridiidae
Description: partial 16S ribosomal RNA
Source: RNAcentral